AUGUCUCAAAAAGAACAAAUUCAAGCAUUGCAAGAGCAGUCAGGAAAUCCAGAUAUAAUCUACAUAGUAGAUGUAGAGGAGGAAAUGUCUGAUGCUGAAGAGGAACCACCUAACAAACAAGAGCUUAAGAUAUCCAUGCAUGCAGCAACUGGUAUUCCUGAAGCAAAAAACAAGCACACCUUUACACUACAAGUCCUAAUUGGGAAAACAGUAGUCCUAGCUCUGGUAGAUAGUGGCAGCACCACCACUUUUAUAUCUCCAACAGCAGCUCUGCAAUCUGGGUACAACAUUACACCAGUGAAACAAGUUCCUGUAACUGUAGCUAAUGGAGGAAAGCUAUUUAGUGAUUUCUCCUAUUUCCAAGCCCCAUAUCAAAUUCAAGGAGUGGAACUGCUCUCGGAUUUCAGAGUCCUACAACUCACUGGAUAUGAUAUAAUCCUAGGAGCAGACUGGAUGUACAGGCACAACCCUGUCACUUUUGACCUACCAAACAUAAGGCUAGUAAUCAGAAACACCACUGGAGAAGAAAUCACAGUUGUUGAUGAAAGCUUACCUACUAGCCCUUGUACUCCCAUACUGCAAGACAUGGAAAACAUAUUGGAUAACAUGCUCACUGGUGCUUUAAUGUGGAUGCAGCCCGUCCAACUGGACAAUGUCACUGACACUGUUCACAAACCUAAAAUUACUGAAAUGCUAGACAAGUUCCAAGAUGUCUUCUCGGAACCAACGAGCCAGCCACCCAAGAGGGACUGUGAUCAUGCAAUCAAUCUGCAACCUGAUGCUCCUAUGAUCAACCAAAGAGCAUACAGACUUCCUCAUCACCAGAAAAAUGCGUUGGAGGAAAUAAUCAAAGAUCUUCUUCAGAAAGGGAUUAUCAGAUUAAGUCACAGCCCCUACUCAUCCCCUGCCACUCAUCCCCUGCCAUAUUGGUCAAGAAAAAGGAUCUCAUUUGGAGAUUAUGCAUUGAUUACAGGAAGUUAA
Molecule: ribosomal RNA, 981 nt
Filed under: Triticum aestivum (bread wheat)
Lineage: Eukaryota; Viridiplantae; Streptophyta; Magnoliopsida; Poales; Poaceae
Description: partial small subunit ribosomal RNA
Source: RNAcentral